This 208-nucleotide long non-coding RNA is filed under the name Setaria italica (foxtail millet). Its description in RNAcentral is "long non-coding RNA (SITA_LNC005057)". Lineage: Eukaryota; Viridiplantae; Streptophyta; Magnoliopsida; Poales; Poaceae. The record is from RNAcentral.
CGGUCGCGACAGAAUGGAUUUCCGCGCCCUCCUCCCCAAUCGCAGCGAAAGCCCCUCUGCAACCCUUUCCGCCUCGUCUCGCUCACGCCCUCGCCUGCCGUGCCAAGGUGCCCCGUCGCCGCCAUGGCAGAAGUUUGCCGCAGUCGCGUCAGACCGCCUCGCGCUCAUCAUCUUGCCGGAUUCCCAGCUGCAAGCCCCGAUGCCUUCC